GGCCGGUUAGCUCAGUUGGUUAGAGCGUGGUGCUAAUAACGCCAAGGUCACGGGUUCAACCCCUGUACGGGCCA
RNAcentral lists this transfer RNA (74 nucleotides) under Merluccius polli (Benguela hake). It matches the Rfam family "tRNA". From Rfam's summary of the family: Transfer RNA (tRNA) molecules are approximately 80 nucleotides in length. Their secondary structure includes four short double-helical elements and three loops (D, anti-codon, and T loops). Lineage: Eukaryota; Metazoa; Chordata; Actinopteri; Gadiformes; Merlucciidae. The record is from Rfam by way of RNAcentral.